CGCUGGCGGCGUGCCUAAUACAUGCAAGUCGAGCGAACUCUGGUAACUGAUUUUUGAUGCUUGCAUCAAAAUGAAGAUACAUUUGAGUGAGCGGCGGAUGGGUGAGUAACACGUGGGUAACCUGCCCUAAAGUGGGGGAUAACAUCUGGAAACAGGUGCUAAUACCGCAUAACAGCAAUUUCCACAUGGUCAUUGUUUGAAAGAUGGUUCUGCUAUCGCUUUAGGAUGGACCCGCGGCGUAUUAGCUAGUUGGUGAGGUAACGGCUCACCAAGGCGAUGAUACGUAGCCGACCUGAGAGGGUAAUCGGCCACAUUGGGACUGAGACACGGCCCAAACUCCUACGGGAGGCAGCAGUAGGGAAUCUUCCACAAUGGACGAAAGUCUGAUGGAGCAACGCCGCGUGAGUGAAGAAGGUUUUCGGAUCGUAAAACUCUGUUGUUGAAGAGGAACAUGCGUGAGAGUAACUGUUCAUGUAUUGACGGUAUUCAACCAGAAAGCCACGGCUAACUACGUGCCAGCAGCCGCGGUAAUACGUAGGUGGCAAGCGUUAUCCGGAUUUAUUGGGCGUAAAGCGAGUGCAGGCGGUUUAUAAGGUCUGAUGUGAAAGCCCUCGGCUCAACCGAGGAAGUGCAUCGGAAACCGGUAAACUUGAGUGCAGAAGAGGAGAGUGGAACUCCAUGUGUAGCGGCGGAAUGCGUAGAUAUAUGGAAGAACACCAGUGGCGAAGGCGGCUCUCUGGUCUGUAACUGACGCUGAGGCUCGAAAGCGUGGGUAGCAAACAGGAUUAGAUACCCUGGUAGUCC
RNAcentral lists this ribosomal RNA (804 nucleotides) under uncultured bacterium. RNAcentral's name for it is "bacterial SSU rRNA". It matches the Rfam family "Bacterial small subunit ribosomal RNA", at positions 34 to 796 of the family's 1533-position model. The record is from RNAcentral.